This 226-nucleotide long non-coding RNA is filed under the name Homo sapiens (human). RNAcentral's name for it is "HSALNT0025987". Lineage: Eukaryota; Metazoa; Chordata; Mammalia; Primates; Hominidae. The record is from RNAcentral.
CCUGGGCCUCUCUGUGGGCUGUGGGCUGCGGGCAGGGCAGGGCCCUCCCCUGUGUCCUCAUGUGGACCCCUCUAUGCCCUCUGUGCGCCCUCCUCUCAUGGGCCGUCGCCAAGUACAGUCGAGCUCCGAGGGGACCGGAGGCCACAGUGCAGCCCAUGGUGCUGAGCAAGGCUGGAGCUGGAGGUGUCGGGGACAUGGGUGUGGGGACAUGGGUGUGGGGACAUAG